UCGAAUUCUAAUGUGGUAAGU
RNAcentral lists this non-coding RNA (21 nucleotides) under Caenorhabditis elegans. Lineage: Eukaryota; Metazoa; Nematoda; Chromadorea; Rhabditida; Rhabditidae. The record is from RNAcentral.